AACGAACGCUGGCGGCAUGCCUAACACAUGCAAGUCGAACGAGACCUUCGGGUCUUGUGGCGCACGUGUGCUUAACGCGUGGGAACCUGCCCUUAGGUUCGGAAUAACUCCCCGAAAGGUGUGCUAAUACCGGAUAAUGUCUUCGGACCAAAGAUGUAUGGCGUUGGGAUGGGCGCGCGUUGGUUUAGCGAGUUGGUAGGGUAAAAGCCUGACAAGGAGAGGUAGCAUAGCUGGUCGGUGAGGAGGACCAACAACACUGGACCUAAGACACGGACCAGAAUCGUAGGGGAGGCAGAGGAGGGGAAUAUUGGACAAGGGGCGAAAGCCUAAUCAAGCAAUGCGGGGUAAGUGAUGAAGGCCUUAGGGUUGUAAAGCUCUUUUACCCGGGAUGAUAAUGACAGUACCGGGUGAAUAAGCACCGGCUAACUACGUG
RNAcentral lists this ribosomal RNA (433 nucleotides) under uncultured bacterium. Its description in RNAcentral is "partial 16S ribosomal RNA". It matches the Rfam family "Bacterial small subunit ribosomal RNA", at positions 29 to 507 of the family's 1533-position model. The record is from RNAcentral.